Molecule: ribosomal RNA, 465 nt
Filed under: Vreelandella stevensii
Lineage: Bacteria; Pseudomonadati; Pseudomonadota; Gammaproteobacteria; Oceanospirillales; Halomonadaceae
Description: partial 16S ribosomal RNA
Rfam family: Bacterial small subunit ribosomal RNA
Source: RNAcentral
CCUACGGGGGGCAGCAGUGGGGAAUAUUGGACAAUGGGGGCAACCCUGAUCCAGCCAUGCCGCGUGUGUGAAGAAGGCCCUCGGGUUGUAAAGCACUUUCAGUGAGGAAGAACGCCUGGUGGUUAAUACCCAUCAGGAAAGACAUCACUCACAGAAGAAGCACCGGCUAACUCCGUGCCAGCAGCCGCGGUAAUACGGAGGGUGCGAGCGUUAAUCGGAAUUACUGGGCGUAAAGCGCGCGUAGGUGGCUUGAUAAGCCGGUUGUGAAAGCCCCGGGCUCAACCUGGGAACGGCAUCCGGAACUGUCAAGCUAGAGUGCAGGAGAGGAAGGUAGAAUUCCCGGUGUAGCGGUGAAAUGCGUAGAGAUCGGGAGGAAUACCAGUGGCGAAGGCGGCCUUCUGGACUGACACUGACACUGAGGUGCGAAAGUGUGGGUAGCAAACAGGAUUAGAUACCCGUGUAGUC